RNAcentral lists this ribosomal RNA (462 nucleotides) under uncultured ammonia-oxidizing beta proteobacterium. Its description in RNAcentral is "bacterial SSU rRNA". It matches the Rfam family "Bacterial small subunit ribosomal RNA", at positions 202 to 647 of the family's 1533-position model. The record is from RNAcentral. Lineage: Bacteria; Pseudomonadati; Pseudomonadota; Betaproteobacteria.
AAGUAGGGGAUCGUAAGACCUUGCGCUUUUGGAGCGGCCGAUGCCUGAUUAGCUAGUUGGUGGGGUAAGGGCCUACCAAGGCGACGAUCAGUAGUUGGUCUGAGAGGACGACCAGCCACACUGGGACUGAGACACGGCCCAGACUCCUACGGGAGGCAGCAGUGGGGAAUUUUGGACAAUGGGCGAAAGCCUGAUCCAGCAAUGCCGCGUGAGUGAAGAAGGCCUUCGGGUUGUAAAGCUCUUUCAGUCGAGAAGAAAAGGUUGUGACUAAUAAUCACAACUUAUGACGGUACCGACAGAAGAAGCACCGGCUAACUACGUGCCAGCAGCCGCGGUAAUACGUAGGGUGCGAGCGUUAAUCGGAAUUACUGGGCGUAAAGGGUGCGCAGGCGGCUUUGUAAGUCAGAUGUGAAAUCCCCGGGCUUAACCUGGGAAUUGCGUUUGAAACUACAAAGCUAGAGU